UGCUACGUCUGGGGAAAAAAGAUGUAAAUAUAAGAAAAGCUCGACCAAUCCUUCUUGCUACAACUACAUUGCAAAGAAAGAUACAAAUAAUGAAAAACAAAAAGAAAAUGAAAUCAACCUACUACAUUACUCACGAUUUACCAAAAGCAGUGUUACAAAAGAAGAAGGAAUCCAAGAUUCAAAAUGCAAAUAGAAAUGAAAACGAGAAAAGAAAGAGAAUGGACACCCCUAGCCCCAAAAACCAGAACUUGGCAACUUCGAAAUUUCCAAAAACAACAAAAACCAACUUCCAAAAAGAUGCAAACCAAAUAGAUGCCUUUCAAUAUAUGCGAGAAAGAUCUUAUUCCUUCUCCGAAAAAAACACACACCGGAACUAAGAAAAGAAAAAUUAUAGGAGCAGUUGGAGAAAAUUUUUCUAAACAUCCUAACAACAAGAGCAAACCAAAACAGACAAAUAACCAUGUCACUAAAAACAUUGCUAAGCCUAAGAGAAAACAACCACUGCCCCUAACUCUUUUUCAGUGUCCUCCGGGCCGGCUAGUCACCGGAACUUCGGUGGAGGAUGUAGACUACAGCCCCCCAGUAACAAAGCGUGAACAAAGUUUAAUUGCCACGAGCCUCAAUGUAAGGACCCUUAUGUCAGAUGCACGGAUAACAGAACUCGAGUAUGCUAUGGAAAAAAUAAAAUGGGAUGUGUUAGGCAUCUGCGAAACUAGAAGAAAAAAUUAAGAAAUAUUAGAGUAUCCUGGAUAUAUCCUUUACCAUACAAAUAGUAAUCAUGGCCUAUACGGAGUUGGCUUUUUGGUAAAAAAACAAUUGAAAAACAACAUUAUAUCCUUUAAAAGCUAUUCUGACAGAGUAGCAUCUCUAGAACUAGCAUUACAAGAUCAAGAUCCCUUGUCUUUAAUCCAAUGCUAUGCACCCACUGAAAAAUGUAAAGAAGAAGAAUUAAAAGAAUUUUAUAAAACAUUAGAAAUGGCAACGGAAACAAUACAUACAAAAAACCUAAUAAUUAUGGGUGACUUCAAUGCCCAGAUCGGAGAGUCACAAAAAGGAGAAGAAUUAGCUUUUGGAAAGUACUCACAUGGAAAAAGAUCAAGACACGGACAAAGAUACCUAAGGAUCAGAAAAUCAAAACAGAUGCCGAUGAUAAUAACCUAAAAACACUUCUGGAUGAAAGACGAAAACUAUACAAAGAAAAUAGAACAAGAAUGGUCAAAAGUAGAAUAACAACGCUGAGCAAAAUGAUAAAUAGAAACAUUACAGAUAGGAAAAGAGCACACAGAAAGAAAACUCUAGAAAAUUAUAU
Aricia agestis (brown argus) is the source of this 1309-nucleotide long non-coding RNA. RefSeq lists it as uncharacterized. The transcript is spliced from 2 exons. NCBI's taxonomy places the organism in Eukaryota, Metazoa, Arthropoda, Insecta, Lepidoptera, Lycaenidae. The record is from RefSeq and is a predicted model, not a curated record.